UACGUAGGGGGCAAGCGUUGUCCGGAUUUAUUGGGCGUAAAGAGCGUGUAGGCGGCCGUACAGGUCAGCUGUGAAACUCGAGGCUCAACCUCGAGACGUCGGUUGAAACCGUACGGCUAGAGUCCGGAAGAGGGAGAGUGGAAUUCCCGGUGUAGCGGUGAAAUGCGCAGAUAUCGGGAAGAACACCCGUGGCGAAGGCGGCUCUCUGGGACGGUACUGACGCUGAGACGCGAAAGCGUGGGGAGCGAACAGG
RNAcentral lists this ribosomal RNA (253 nucleotides) under uncultured bacterium. Its description in RNAcentral is "partial 16S ribosomal RNA". It matches the Rfam family "Bacterial small subunit ribosomal RNA", at positions 524 to 776 of the family's 1533-position model. The record is from RNAcentral.